GUCUAUGCUUAUGCCACCCUGAACAAGCCUGAUGUCUGAUUUCGGAAGCUAAGCAGUGUUGAGCCUGCUUAGUACUUGGAUGGGAGACCACCUAGGAAGACCAGAUGCUGUAGGCA
Pteropus alecto (black flying fox) is the source of this 116-nucleotide non-coding RNA. The record is from Rfam. NCBI's taxonomy places the organism in Eukaryota, Metazoa, Chordata, Mammalia, Chiroptera, Pteropodidae.